ACCAAGGCCGAGGAAACUCUUCUUUCUCAUCAGAAGACGGGUAAGUUCGGUUUCGGAAAGCCCUGGAAGCUGUACAAGGAC
RNAcentral lists this non-coding RNA (81 nucleotides) under Lotharella oceanica. Lineage: Eukaryota; Cercozoa; Chlorarachniophyceae. The record is from RNAcentral.